GAUGAACGCUGGCGGCGUGCCUAAUACAUGCAAGUCGAGCGAACGGACGAGAAGCUUGCUUCUCUGAUGUUAGCGGCGGACGGGUGAGUAACACGUGGAUAACCUACCUAUAAGACUGGGAUAACUUCGGGAAACCGGAGCUAAUACCGGAUAAUAUUUUGAACCGCAUGGUUCAAAAGUGAAAGACGGUCUUGCUGUCACUUAUAGAUGGAUCCGCGCUGCAUUAGCUAGUUGGUAAGGUAACGGCUUACCAAGGCAACGAUGCAUAGCCGACCUGAGAGGGUGAUCGGCCACACUGGAACUGAGACACGGUCCAGACUCUUACGGGAGGCAGCAGUAGGGAAUCUUCCGCAAUGGGCGAAAGCCUGACGGAGCAACGCCGCGUGAGUGAUGAAGGUCUUCGGAUCGUAAAACUCUGUUAUUAGGGAAGAACAUAUGUGUAAGUAACUGUGCACAUCUUGACGGUACCUAAUCAGAAAGCCACGGCUAACUACGCG
Molecule: ribosomal RNA, 497 nt
Filed under: uncultured bacterium
Lineage: Bacteria
Description: partial 16S ribosomal RNA
Rfam family: Bacterial small subunit ribosomal RNA
Source: RNAcentral